CGUAAUGGGCGGGCCGUGCGUGGGAGCCUUCGGGCUCGCCGGUCCUUCCCCGGUACGCCAACCCGCACGGUUCCGCCCUCCCUG
RNAcentral lists this non-coding RNA (84 nucleotides) under Pseudomonas oryzihabitans. The record is from RNAcentral. RNAcentral also lists the same sequence under 1 other name. Lineage: Bacteria; Pseudomonadati; Pseudomonadota; Gammaproteobacteria; Pseudomonadales; Pseudomonadaceae.